This is a long non-coding RNA of Gossypium arboreum, 421 nucleotides long. RefSeq lists it as uncharacterized. NCBI's taxonomy places the organism in Eukaryota, Viridiplantae, Streptophyta, Magnoliopsida, Malvales, Malvaceae. The transcript has 2 exons. The record is from RefSeq and is a predicted model, not a curated record.
UUUUAUCUUCACUUUCUUCCUCUUCUUCUUCUUUUUGGCUAUUGUACCCACAACGUUCUUUCUUCUUCACUGUUUUUAAUUUCUUUUGAUCGCCAAGGUCUAUCGCUAAUUUUCAAGCAUCCAGCCAAGGGACAUAGCAAUGGAGUACGUAGAGCCUGUUGUUAGAAUUGCAAAUUGUCUCGGAACUCCUGUUUGUAAAUAUUUGCAAUAUCACAGAAAGCUCAAUGGUUAUGUGAGAAACUUCAAGAGGAUCAGAGAUGAAUUGAAUUGCAAAAUGAAAGACAUAGAGCUGCAAUUGAAAGCAGAGCUUCUUCGUCCUCUGGGGAAGAUACCAAAGCAGGGAGUUGAAAAUUGGUUGAAAGAUGUGAAAGAGAUGAUUAGGGAAGCACAAGUUGUUGAAAACAAAGUCAGUAACGGAAGA